AGAGUUUGAUCCUGGCUCAGGAUGAACGCUGGCGGCGUGCUUAACACAUGCAAGUCGAGCGAAGCACUUUACUUGGAUUUCUUCGGAAUGACGAGUAUUGUGACUGAGCGGCGGACGGGUGAGUAACGCGUGGGUAACCUGCCUCAUACAGGGGGAUAACAGUUAGAAAUGACUGCUAAUACCGCAUAAGACCACAGCACCGCAUGGUGCAGGGGUAAAAACUCCGGUGGUAUGAGAUGGACCCGCGUCUGAUUAGCUGGUUGGUGGGGUAACGGCCUACCAAGGCGACGAUCAGUAGCCGGCCUGAGAGGGCGACCGGCCACAUUGGGACUGAGACACGGCCCAAACUCCUACGGGAGGCAGCAGUGGGGAAUAUUGCACAAUGGGGGAAACCCUGAUGCAGCGACGCCGCGUGAAGGAAGAAGUAUUUCGGUAUGUAAACUUCUAUCAGCAGGGAAGAAAAUGACGGUACCUGACUAAGAAGCCCCGGCUAACUACGUGCCAGCAGCCGCGGUAAUACGUAGGGGGCAAGCGUUAUCCGGAUUUACUGGGUGUAAAGGGAGCGUAGACGGAGAGGCAAGUCUGAUGUGAAAACCCGGGGCUCAACCCCGGGACUGCAUUGGAAACUGUUUUUCUAGAGUGUCGGAGAGGUAAGCGGAAUUCCUAGUGUAGCGGUGAAAUGCGUAGAUAUUAGGAGGAACACCAGUGGCGAAGGCGGCUUACUGGACGAUGACUGACGUUGAGGCUCGAAAGCGUGGGGAGCAAACAGGAUUAGAUACCCUGGUAGUCCACGCCGUAAACGAUGACUACUAGGUGUCGGGUGGCAAAGCCAUUCGGUGCCGCAGCC
RNAcentral lists this ribosomal RNA (847 nucleotides) under uncultured bacterium. Its description in RNAcentral is "bacterial SSU rRNA". It matches the Rfam family "Bacterial small subunit ribosomal RNA", at positions 8 to 853 of the family's 1533-position model. The record is from RNAcentral.